This 246-nucleotide unclassified non-coding RNA is filed under the name uncultured fungus. RNAcentral describes it as "partial contains 18S rRNA, ITS1, 5.8S rRNA, ITS2 and 28S rRNA". Lineage: Eukaryota; Fungi. The record is from RNAcentral.
AAGGAUCAUUCAUAAUAAGUGUUUUAUGGCACUUUUUAAAUCCAUAUCCACCUUGUGUGCAAUGUCAGUCGAUCUUCUUCAUGGAGAUCGACCAAACAUCAACCUUUAUUUUUUAACUCUUUGUCUGAAAAAUAUUAUGAAUAAACAAUUCAAAAUACAACUUUCAACAACGGAUCUCUUGGCUCUCGCAUCGAUGAAGAACGCAGCGUAGCCAUGCAUCGAUGUGGAAGUAAAAGUCGUAACAAG